RNAcentral lists this ribosomal RNA (517 nucleotides) under uncultured bacterium. Its description in RNAcentral is "bacterial SSU rRNA". It matches the Rfam family "Bacterial small subunit ribosomal RNA", at positions 15 to 518 of the family's 1533-position model. The record is from RNAcentral.
GAUCAUGGCUCAGAUGAACGCUGGCGGCGUGCUUAACACGUGCAAGUCGCGCGUGAAAGGACUUCGGUCCGAGUAAAGCGGCGCACGGGUGAGUAACGCGUGGAUGAUCUACCCAUGAGUUAGGAAUAACGGCUGGAAACGGUCGCUAAUACCAAAUACGCUCCGAUUUCAACUUCGGGGGAAAGGUGGCCUCUGCUUGCAAGCUACUGCUCAUGGAUGAGUCCGCGUCCCAUUAGCUAGUUGGUGGGGUAACGGCCCACCAAGGCGACGAUGGGUAGCCGGUCUGAGAGGAUGACCGGCCACACUGGGACUGGAACACGGCCCAGACUCCUACGGGAGGCAGCAGUGGGGAAUAUUGCGCAAUGGGCGAAAGCCUGACGCAGCGACGCCGCGUGAGGGAUGAAGGUCCUCGGAUCGUAAACCUCUGUCAGGAGGGAAGAACCGCCACGGUGCUAAUCAGCCGUGGUCUGACGGUACCUCCAAAGGAAGCACCGGCUAACUCCGUGCCAGCCGCAGC